Molecule: non-coding RNA, 84 nt
Organism: Caenorhabditis brenneri
Lineage: Eukaryota; Metazoa; Nematoda; Chromadorea; Rhabditida; Rhabditidae
Source: Rfam
GAGAAGUUGAGGUAGGCUCAGUAGAUGCGAACGUAAAUGAGCCCACAUCGGCCUUUCACAUCCACUUGCCUUCCUCGCCUUUCC